UACGAAGGGGGCUAGCGUUGCUCGGAAUUACUGGGCGUAGAGCGCACGUAGGCGGCUUUGCAAGUUAGAGGUGAAAGCCCGGGGCUCAACUCCGGAAUUGCCUUUAAAACUGCAUCGCUAGAAUUGUGGAGAGGUAAGUGGAAUUCCGAGUGUAGAGGUGAAAUUCGUAGAUAUUCGGAAGAACACCAGUGGCGAAGGCGACUUACUGGACACAUAUUGACGCUGAGGUGCGAAAGCGUGGGGAGCAAACAGG
Molecule: ribosomal RNA, 253 nt
Filed under: uncultured bacterium
Lineage: Bacteria
Description: partial 16S ribosomal RNA
Rfam family: Bacterial small subunit ribosomal RNA
Source: RNAcentral